UCAUUUCUAACAGUCUACACCACUUCAUCUUAGAGCCUAUACCAUUUUUGUUGGUCAUCUUUCUUGUUCUUUGGACCUGGUAUUGUAUUGGUGAGAUGCCAAUUUAGUCACAAACCAACCACCUUACUAUAUUUGACUUUGAAAAUAACAAAUGUGUCAAGGCUUGACUUUUUCAAAAUUUUCUUAAGAAUAUCACCGAACCCAAUAUGGGUUGC
RNAcentral lists this long non-coding RNA (215 nucleotides) under Capsicum annuum. RNAcentral describes it as "long non-coding RNA (CANN_LNC019722)". The record is from RNAcentral. Lineage: Eukaryota; Viridiplantae; Streptophyta; Magnoliopsida; Solanales; Solanaceae.